CCUAGGCUUGUGGCAGCAUCACGCCAACCUCUGCCUCCGUCCUCACGUGGCAUUCUCCCUGUGUGUCUGUCUUUCUUCUCUU
Long non-coding RNA from Myotis brandtii (Brandt's bat), 82 nucleotides. RefSeq lists it as uncharacterized. Lineage: Eukaryota; Metazoa; Chordata; Mammalia; Chiroptera; Vespertilionidae. The record is from RefSeq and is a predicted model, not a curated record. The transcript has 3 exons.